AGUUGGGCGCGCAGUUUACUCUGGAGGUCCUCCUUGCUGAACCCGGUUUGGAGGAGUUAAACGAACUCCGCUCGCCGCUGUCUUCCGUCUCCUUAGUUCAUUCCUCAGCGGCAGAUUCCACUAUCUUCUCAACGUCGGCUCUAAUCCCAGCUUCAUCAACCAACAUCAUCGCAUAAACCCCGGGCUCAAUCCAAAGGCAUCAGUUCUAUCGAUUCUAGAACGUGAUUCACGGAGCAAUCGUCGAUUUGAGCACUAAAUUGUUAAUUUCCUCUUGGAAGACUUGACACAGAACGCACGUCGUGGAUCUUAGAGCUUCCGGCACGAGAAGAUAGCCUCUGACACCACCGCGAGCGUUGAUAGGAUUUUCCGUUUCGUCAUCAUAACAUUGUUGUAAAGCUUAUUUUUUGAACGUCAUCAUCAAACAAUAGCACUUUUUCAUAUUGUAUUAUAGCUCAAUUAAUGUUGAUGUGAUUAGAUGUAUAUGGUGGUGUAUUUUUAGGGAUAGAGUUCUGACCUUGAAUGUCAGGUCACACUCAUGAAUUUUGCUUUCAUCAUUAUUUUUUUUAAGCGUUACACUUUCCUUCAAACGACGGCUAACAAAAAUCUUCUCUUCCUCCCAUGUCAGGUAUGUGUGCGAUCUUUGCUUUUAUGAAAUUUUUAUUUCUCCCUCUUACUUCGAUGAUGUUCACUGACGGCUGUACUUAAUUAAUAUCAAAUAUUACAUGAAGAAGCAUGGGUACACACAUCGAACUUUAUCCUCUACCACUCUUCUUUACUAUAAAUAUCUACACCUUGCUCAAGCUUUUACAAUGUUCGAACAGUUGUAAAUAUAAGGAAUUGUCU
RNAcentral lists this long non-coding RNA (843 nucleotides) under Zostera marina. RNAcentral's name for it is "long non-coding RNA (ZMAR_LNC001966)". The record is from RNAcentral. Lineage: Eukaryota; Viridiplantae; Streptophyta; Magnoliopsida; Alismatales; Zosteraceae.